Molecule: long non-coding RNA, 1026 nt
Filed under: Suricata suricatta (meerkat)
Lineage: Eukaryota; Metazoa; Chordata; Mammalia; Carnivora; Herpestidae
Description: lncRNA (ENSSSUG00005016017.1)
Source: RNAcentral
CUGCCUUUCCCGCCUCGCUUGAGGACAUUGGUUGUCAGGUAAUAUCCCACCACGCCCUCCCAGACCUUGCUUUCCGGACUAUUUAAUCAAGGAGGGCAAUACUUUUUUUACAUUUAUUCAAAAAGCAUCGUGUGCCAUGUGCCAGGCACUGCGCAAGGUUUGGAAAUACACGGCUGACUGAAACAAAACUGCGCCUUCAAGGAGCUUACGGUCUAUUGGGGAAACAGACCAGAAACAGAUACCUACAAAAUAAAGACAAGCGCAAGGAAAGAGAAGCUGAAACUUGGGCAGAUAUUGGAGUUGGAGUUCUGCUGGGUGAGUAUGAAGGGGACAGAAAGCAACGGGAGGGAGGGCCGAGACGCAGCUGGUUAAGCAUCCUGCUCUAAUCUCUGCUCAGGUCAUGAUCUCAUGGCUUGUGGGAUCGAGCCCCCCAUCGGGCUCUGCACUUACAGCUCCGAGCCUGCUCGGGAUUCUCUCUCUCCCUCUCUCUCUCCACCCCUCCCCUCCCCUGCUCUCUCUCUCUCAAAAUAAAUAAAUUGUAAAAGAGAGUUUAAGAAGCAAGGGAUUUGAUGGCACUUGCUGCAUUCGAGCGAUUUAAAAUGACAGGUGGCUCUCACUUCCAGCUGGGUGCACACAGAAUUAUCCAGGAGGCUCCCAAGAGUCUGAUUUAAUGGGUUCGGGAUGGGGCCUGAGCACUGGUAGGGCUUCAAAAGCUCUCCAGGUGCUUCUAAUGUGCAGAGACUGACCAUGCGGACCAUGAAUCCUGAGGCGGAAACAGGAGAGAGCCAAUGAGAAGUGAGAACCUGGUGGGCCCAGUGAAUCUGAAGUAAAUGGUAGCAGUGGGGCACCGGAGCAAGGAAGCUGGGAGGAUCAGAAGUCAUCAUCCAUAGGUAAAUAUUUGGAAGUGUUUGAAAAUAUCUGAGUUGUGAAGGGCAAGGUCAUUGUAGGCGAGGGGGUGAGAACUGAAUGGAUUACCCACAUGGACACUGAGUGUCCGUGGUGAGGAGUGUGACCCAUGGGCUGGAC